Molecule: ribosomal RNA, 841 nt
Filed under: Bacillus tequilensis
Lineage: Bacteria; Bacillati; Bacillota; Bacilli; Caryophanales; Bacillaceae
Description: bacterial SSU rRNA
Rfam family: Bacterial small subunit ribosomal RNA
Source: RNAcentral
GUUAGCGGCGGACGGGUGAGUAACACGUGGGUAACCUGCCUGUAAGACUGGGAUAACUCCGGGAAACCGGGGCUAAUACCGGAUGGUUGUUUGAACCGCAUGGUUCAAACAUAAAAGGUGGCUUCGGCUACCACUUACAGAUGGACCCGCGGCGCAUUAGCUAGUUGGUGAGGUAAUGGCUCACCAAGGCAACGAUGCGUAGCCGACCUGAGAGGGUGAUCGGCCACACUGGGACUGAGACACGGCCCAGACUCCUACGGGAGGCAGCAGUAGGGAAUCUUCCGCAAUGGACGAAAGUCUGACGGAGCAACGCCGCGUGAGUGAUGAAGGUUUUCGGAUCGUAAAGCUCUGUUGUUAGGGAAGAACAAGUACCGUUCGAAUAGGGCGGUACCUUGACGGUACCUAACCAGAAAGCCACGGCUAACUACGUGCCAGCAGCCGCGGUAAUACGUAGGUGGCAAGCGUUGUCCGGAAUUAUUGGGCGUAAAGGGCUCGCAGGCGGUUUCUUAAGUCUGAUGUGAAAGCCCCCGGCUCAACCGGGGAGGGUCAUUGGAAACUGGGGAACUUGAGUGCAGAAGAGGAGAGUGGAAUUCCACGUGUAGCGGUGAAAUGCGUAGAGAUGUGGAGGAACACCAGUGGCGAAGGCGACUCUCUGGUCUGUAACUGACGCUGAGGAGCGAAAGCGUGGGGAGCGAACAGGAUUAGAUACCCUGGUAGUCCACGCCGUAAACGAUGAGUGCUAAGUGUUAGGGGGUUUCCGCCCCUUAGUGCUGCAGCUAACGCAUUAAGCACUCCGCCUGGGGAGUACGGUCGCAAGACUGAAACUCAAAGGAAUUGACGG